RNAcentral lists this ribosomal RNA (499 nucleotides) under uncultured bacterium. RNAcentral's name for it is "partial 16S ribosomal RNA". It matches the Rfam family "Bacterial small subunit ribosomal RNA", at positions 30 to 523 of the family's 1533-position model. The record is from RNAcentral.
AUUGAACGCCGGCGGAAUGCUUUACACAUGCAAGUCGAACGGCAGCACGGACUUCGGUCUGGUGGCGAGUGGCGAACGGGUGAGUAAUACAUCGGAACGUGCCCAGUCGUGGGGAUAACGUAGCGAAAGCUACGCUAAUACCGCAUACGAUCUAAGGAUGAAAGCGGGGGAUCGCAAGACCUCGCGCGAUUGGAGCGGCCGAUGGCAGAUUAGGUAGUUGGUGGGGUAAAGGCUCACCAAGCCGACGAUCUGUAGCUGGUCUGAGAGGACGACCAGCCACACUGGGACUGAGACACGGCCCAGACUCCUACGGGAGGCAGCAGUGGGGAAUUUUGGACAAUGGGCGCAAGCCUGAUCCAGCCGUUCCGCGUGCAGGAUGAAGGCCCUCGGGUUGUAAACUGCUUUUGUACGGAACGAAAAGGCUCUGGUUAAUACCUGGGGCUCAUGACGGUACCGUAAGAAUAAGCACCGGCUAACUACGUGCCAGCCGCCGCUGUAA